UUAGCCUCUGAUUGCUGUAACUGAGCGAGUGCUGCAUUUUUCUCUGCUUGCAGUGCCAUAACCUCAUUAUACAGAUCAGUCUUUCCUGCUUCGAGGUCUUUGUUGGCCUCCUGAAGUUUUGAAAUCUCUUGGACUUGUUGUUCUAACUUGCUCUCAAGAUUAAUAACUGAAGUAGCAGCUUCAUUUUUUUGUCCUUGUAAUUCAACAAUUUCAUUAUGCAGGUUAGAAUUUGCAAGCUCCAGGCCUUCAUUAGUCUUCUGCAUAUCUGAAAUCCUCUCAAGUUGUUUUGCUAGCUCAGUCUUAAGAUUCAUCAAAGAAGCCUCUAGCUGCUCUAUCUCUGACAUGGCAGAAUCAUUAUCCUUCUGUAGCUCGGCAAUAUUACUUACAAGAAUCUUGAUAGAAGCCUCAGACUGCUGCAGAUCUGAAAUUAUUUUGUUCUUUUCAUCUUGUAGUGCUAAUAUUUCAGCUUGGUGACUCUUCGCCUCUUCUAGUUGCAUCUUCAACCGUGAGUUAAUAUUUUGUAGGUCUUCAUUAGCAAGUUGUAGAACAUAAAUUUGUUCAACUUGCUGCUCUAACUGAACUCCUAAGGUCUUGACUGAAUCAUUUGACUGAUGUAAGCUGUUAAUGGCCUCUUCCUUCACUCCUUGUAGCACAAUGAUCUCAUCUUGCAGAGUAGUCCUUAUCUCUUCAAGUUCCUUGUGUAAACUAGAAUUUGUAUUCUGCAGUUCUUCAUUUUCUCGUUGGAAAUGUGAAAUUUUGUUUUGCUGCUGUACCAGGUCACUUUGAAGUUUCUUGAUGUUAGCCUCUGAUUGCUGUAACUGAGUGAGUGCUGUAUUUUUCUCCUCUUGCAGUAUUGUAACCUCAUUAUACAGAUCAGUCUUGGCUGCUUUGAGGUCUUUGUUGGCUUUCUGAAGAUAUGAAAUCUCUUGGACUUGUUGUUCUAACUUGCUCUCAAGAUUAAUAACAGAAGCAGCAAAUUCAUUUUUUUGUCCUUGUAAUUCUACAAUUUCAUUAUGCAGGUUAGAAUUUGCUAGCUCCAGGCCUUCAUUAGUCUUCUGCAUAUCUGAAAUCCUCUCAAGUUGUUGUGCUAGCUCAGUCUUAAGAUUCAUCAAAGAAGCCUCCAGCUGCUCUAUCUCUGACGUCGCAGAAUCAUUGUCCUUCUGUAGCUCGGCAAUAUUACUUACAAGAUUCUUGAUAGAAGCCUCAGACUGCUGCAGAUCUGAAAUUAUUUUGUUCUUUUCAUCUUGUAGUGCUAAUAUUUCAGCUUGGUGACUAAACUUCGCCUCUUCCAGUUGCAUCUUCAACUUGGAGUUACUUUUUUGUAGGUCUUCAUUAGCAAGCUGCAGGUCAGAAAUUUGUUCAACUCGCUGGUCUAACAGAACUCCAAGGGUCUUGAGUGAAUCAUUUGACUUCUGUAAGCUAUUAAUGGCCUCUUCCUUCACUCCUUGUAGCACAAUGAUCUCAUCUUGCAGAGUAGUCCUUAUCUCUUCAAGUUGCUUGUGUAAACUAGAAUUUGUACUCUGCAGCUCUUCAUUUUCUCGCUGGAAAUGUGAAAUUUGAUUCUGCUGCUGUACCAGGUCACUUUGAAGUUUCUUGAUGUUAGCCUCUGAUUGCUGUAACUGGGCGAGUGCUGCAUUUUUCUCCUCUUGCAGUGUCGUAAUCUCAUUAUACAGGUCAGUCUUAGCUGCUUCGAGGUCUUUGUUGGCUUUCUGAAGAUUUGAAAUCUCUUGGACUUGUUGUUCUAACUUGCUCUCAAGAUUAAUAACUGAAGCAGCAGCUUCAUUUUUUUGUCCUUGUAAUUCAACAAUUUCAUUAUGCAGGUUAGAAUUUGCCAGCUCCAGGCCUUCAUUAGUCUUCUGCAUAUCUGAAAUCCGCUCAAGUUGUUGUGCUAGCUCAGUCUUAAGAUUCAUCAAAGAAGCCUCUAGCUGCUCUAUCUCUGACGUGGCAGAAUCAUUAUCCUUCUGUAGCUCGGCAAUAUUACUUACAAGAUUCUUGAUAGAAGCCUCAGACUGCUGCAGAUCUGAAAUUAUUUUGUUCUUUUCAUCUUGUUGUGCUAAUAUUUCAGCUUGGUGACUAAACUUCGCCUGUUCUUGUUGCAUCUUCAACUGUGAGUUACUAUUUUGUAGGUCUUCAUUAGCAAGCUGCAAAACAGAAAUUUGUUCAACUGCCUGCUCUAACUGAGCUCCUAAGGUCUUCACUGAAUCAUUUGACUGAUGUAAGUUGUUAAUGGCCUCUUCCUUCUCUCCUUGUAGCACAAUGAUCUCAUCUUGCAGAUUAGUCCUUAUCUCUUCAAGGUGCUUGUGUAACCUAGAAUUUGUACUCUGCAGCUCUUCAUUUUCUCGCUGGAAAAGUAAAAUUUGGUUUUGCUGCUGUACCAUGUCACUUUGAAGUUCCUUGAUGUUAGCCUCUGAUUGCUGUAACUGAGCGAGUGCUGCAUUUUUCUCCGCUUGCAGUGCCAUAACCUCAUUAUACAGAUCACUCUUUCCUUCUUCGAGGUCUUUGUUGGCCUCCUGAAGUUUUGAAAUCUCUUGGACUUGUUGUUCUAACUUGCUCUCAAGAUUAAUAACUGAAGCAGCAGCUUCAUUUUUUUGUCCUUGUAAUUCUACCAUUUCAUUAUGUAGGUUAGAAUUUGCAAGCUCCAGACCUUCAUUAGUCUUCUGCAUAUCUAAAAUGCUCUCAAUCUGUUUUGCUAGCUCAGUUUUAAGAUUCAUCAAAGAAGCCUCUAGCUGCUCUAUCUUUGAGGUGGCACAAUCAUUAUCUUUCUGUAGCUCGGAAAUAUUACUUACAAGAUUCUUGAUAGAAGCCUCAGACUGCUGCAGAUCUGAAAUUAUUUUGUUCUUUUCAUCUUGUAGUGCUAAUAUUUCAGCUUGGUGACUAAACUUCGCCUCUUCCAGUUGCAUCUUCAACUUGGAGUUACUAUUUUGUAGGUCUUCAUUAGCAAGCUUUAGGUCAGAAAUUUGAUCAACUCGCUGGUCUAACAGAACUCCAAGGGUCUUGACUGAAUCAUUUGACUGAUGUAAGCUGUUAAUGGCCUCUUCCUUCACUCCUUGUAGCACAAUGAUCUCAUCUUGCAGAUUAGUUCUUAUCUCUUCAAGUUGCUUGUGUAAAUUAGAAUUUGUACUCUGCAACUCUUCAUUUUCUCGCUGGAAAUGUGAAAUUUGGUUCUGCUGCUGUACCAGGUCACUUUGAAGUUCCUUGAUGUUAGCCUCUGAUUGCUGUAACUGAGCGAGUGAUGCAUUUUUCUCCGCUUGCAGUGCCAUAACCUCAUUAUACAGAUCAGUCUUUCCUGCUUCGAGGUCUUUGUUGGCCUCCUGAAGUUUUGAAAUCUCUUGGACUUGUUGUUCUAACUUGCUCUCAAGAUUAAUAACAGAAGCAGCAGCUUCAUUUUUUUGUCCUUGUAAUUCAACAAUUUCAUUAUGCAGGUUAGAAUUUGCCAGCUCCAGGACUUCAUUAGUCUUCUGCAUAUCUGAAAUCCUCUCAAGUUGUUGUGCUAGCUCAGUCUUAAGAUUCAUCAAAGA
Molecule: long non-coding RNA, 3518 nt
Filed under: Setaria viridis
Lineage: Eukaryota; Viridiplantae; Streptophyta; Magnoliopsida; Poales; Poaceae
Description: long non-coding RNA (SVIR_LNC005965)
Source: RNAcentral